This is a long non-coding RNA of Lepidothrix coronata (blue-crowned manakin), 103 nucleotides long. RefSeq lists it as uncharacterized. The record is from RefSeq and is a predicted model, not a curated record. NCBI's taxonomy places the organism in Eukaryota, Metazoa, Chordata, Aves, Passeriformes, Pipridae. The transcript is spliced from 4 exons.
CCAGGAGAAGCGGACGAGCGGCUCGAGGAGCUCAGGGCAGCGCUGGCCCAACGGGACAGGGAACUGGCCGAGCUCAGGGAGGAGCUGGGUGAGUCUGGGGGGA